RNAcentral lists this ribosomal RNA (440 nucleotides) under uncultured bacterium. RNAcentral describes it as "partial 16S ribosomal RNA". It matches the Rfam family "Bacterial small subunit ribosomal RNA", at positions 338 to 795 of the family's 1533-position model. The record is from RNAcentral.
CCUACGGGGGGCAGCAGUGGGGAAUAUUGCACAAUGGGCGAAAGCCUGAUGCAGCCAUGCCGCGUGAGUGAAGAAGUAUCUCGGUAUGUAAAGCUCUAUCAGUAGGGAGGUAAAUGACGGUACCUGUUUCAGAAGCACAGGAUAACUACGUGACAGAAGCCGCGGUAAUACGGAGGGGGCAAGCGUUAUCCGGAUUUACUGGGCGUAAAGGGAGCGUAGACGGUAGGACAAGUCAGGGGUGAAAUGCCGGGGCUGAACCCCGGAACUGCUUUUAAAACUGUGCAGCUAGAGAGCAGGAGAGGUAGGUGGAAUGCCUGGUGUAGCGGUGAAAUGCGUAGAGAUUAGGCGGAACACCGGUGGCGAAGGCGGCUUACUGGACUGUAACUGACGUUGAGGCUCGAAAGCGUGGGGAGCAAACAGGAUUAGAUACCCCGGUAGUC